This 1137-nucleotide long non-coding RNA is filed under the name Sinocyclocheilus anshuiensis. RNAcentral's name for it is "lncRNA (ENSSANG00000031507.1)". The record is from RNAcentral. Lineage: Eukaryota; Metazoa; Chordata; Actinopteri; Cypriniformes; Cyprinidae.
CCAGUGCGAAACGGGCGUUUCUCGUUCUACAUGAAAACGGUUUGACAGGAUGCCAGGUUUAGUUAAUGGUUCAGUUGUGGACGACCAUGACCAAGCCAUAACUGAAGCUCUGGAGCAGUUCUGCAACUUCCCAGAGCAAACAUAUGAGCAGUUCCUGUCCACCUUUAUGUACCUGACCCCAGAGAAUGUGAGGGAUCCACAAUUGACUGCUCCUAGAGGACAUGGAGACCCAUCCCAGAGAGAGAUGGACAGCAGCCGAGAGCGACAAAGAGAGGAUGAAGUGACAGAGAUGGAGGAGAGCGUAUACAGAAGGAUGGGACAGACAAAUCGCUGCUCACCGACUGCUGAUCAGGAAGAGGUCAUGUUGGAUGGCGGUUGUGUUGGAGGAAGACUGAGUGGCCCAUCAAGCUCUGCUCCAGACAGACCUGUGAAGGCACAUGUACACUGCCAGACCAGAAGACACACACUCCCUGUGCAGCUGAGAAUCAGGUACACACACACACACACACACACACACACACACACACACACACACACACACACACACACAGACACACACCCUGGUUUCUCCCAAGGUUUUUUCUCCAUUCUGUCACCGAUGGAGUUUUGGUUCCUUGCCGCUGUCGCCUCUGGCUUGCUUAGUUGGGGACACUUCAUUUCCAGCGAUACCGUUGACUUGAUUGCAAAGAUACUAUUUAAACUGAGCUGGAUGUUGACAUCACUGAACUCAAUGAUGAACUGUCUUUAACUGAAAAAUUUGUGUUUACUAUUGUCAUUUUGCAUUAUUGACACUAUUUUCCUAAUUAAUGCUGUUCAGUUGCUUUGACACAAUCUGUAUUGUUAAAAGCGCUAUAUAAAUAAAGGUGACUUGACUUGACUUGACCAAUGUGUCUCUCUGAGAGCAGUCAAGCUUGGGAAGUAUCUCAGGGAGAUGAGAUGCACUUUUCUGUUGCAUUUCACAGAGACUGUGUAAAAUCCUUCAUUAAACCUUUUUUUAAUUAUUAUUAUUCUAGGAUGAAAGCGAGGAGGUCGUUCUUUUCCAUCUGGAUGAGAACUUUGAUUAUGAUAAUGUUGUGCUGUCUCGCAAAUACGCCAUCCAGGAACAUAAUGGCAGACCAUCUUGAGCUGUAAAUGAAU